RNAcentral lists this long non-coding RNA (1081 nucleotides) under Homo sapiens (human). RNAcentral describes it as "long non-coding RNA NONHSAT186356.1". The record is from RNAcentral. Lineage: Eukaryota; Metazoa; Chordata; Mammalia; Primates; Hominidae.
CACACAUCAGCACCAAGACCAUAGACAGCUGGAUGAGCAUCAUGGUGCCCAAGAGGGUGCAGGUGAUCCUGCCCAAGUUCACAGCUGUAGCACAAACAGAUUUGAAGGAGCCGCUGAAAGUUCUUGGCAUUACUGACAUGUUUGAUUCAUCAAAGGCAAAUUUUGCAAAAAUAACAACAGGGUCAGAAAACCUCCAUGUUUCUCAUAUCUUGCAAAAAGCAAAAAUUGAAGUCAGUGAAGAUGGAACCAAAGCUUCAGCAGCAACAACUGCAAUUCUCAUUGCAAGAUCAUCGCCUCCCUGGUUUAUAGUAGACAGACCUUUUCUGUUUUUCAUCCGACAUAAUCCUACAGGUGCUGUGUUAUUCAUGGGGCAGAUAAACAAACCCUGAAGAGUAUACAAAAGAAACCAUGCAAAGCAACGACUACUUUGCUACGAAGAAAGACUCCUUUCCUGCAUCUUUCAUAGUUCUGUUAAAUAUUUUUGUACAUCGCUUCUUUUUCAAAACUAGUUCUUAGGAACAGACUCGAUGCAAGUGUUUCUGUUCUGGGAGGUAUUGGAGGGAAAAAACAAGCAGGAUGGCUGGAACACUGUACUGAGGAAUGAAUAGAAAGGCUUCCAGAUGUCUAAAAGAUUCUUUAAACUACUGAACUGUUACCUAGGUUAACAACCCUGUUGAGUAUUUGCUGUUUGUCCAGUUCAGGAAUUUUUGUUUUGUUUUGUCUAUAUGUGCGGCUUUUCAGAAGAAAUUUAAUCAGUGUGACAGAAAAAAAAAUGUUUUAUGGUAGCUUUUACUUUUUAUGAAAAAAAAAUUAUUUGCCUUUUAAAUUCUUUUCCCCCAUCCCCCUCCAAAGUCUUGAUAGCAAGCGUUAUUUUGGUGGUAGAAACGGUGAAAUCUCUAGCCUCUUUGUGUUUUUGUUGUUGUUGUUGUUGUUGUUUUAUAUAAUGCAUGUAUUCACUAAAAUAAAAUUUAAAAAACUCCUGUCUUGCUAGACAAGGUUGCUGUUGUGCAGUGUGCCUGUCACUACUGGUCUGUACUCCUUGGAUUUGCAUUUUUGUAUUUUGUACAAAGUAAAAAUAAAC